GACGAACGCUGGCGGCGUGCCUAAUACAUGCAAGUCGAGCGAAGUUUUUCUGGUGCUUGCACUAGAAAAACUUAGCGGCGAACGGGUGAGUAACACGUAAAGAACCUGCCUCAUAGACUGGGACAACUAUUGGAAACGAUAGCUAAUACCGGAUAACAGUAUUUCUCGCAUGAGAGAUAUUUAAAAGUUGGUUAUGCUAACACUAUGAGAUGGCUUUGCGGUGCAUUAGCUAGUUGGUGGGGUAAAGGCCCACCAAGGCGACGAUGCAUAGCCGACCUGAGAGGGGGAUCGGCAACACUGGGACUGAGACACGGCCCAGACUCCUACGGGAGGCAGCAGUAGGGAAUCUUCCGCAAUGGGCGAAAGCCUGACGGAGCAACGCCGCGUGAGUGAAGAAGGAUUUCGGUUCGUAAAGCUCUGUUGUUAGGGAAGAAUGGAUAUGUAGUAACUAUACAUGUAAGAGACGGUACCUAACCAGAAAGCCACGGCUAACUACGUG
This 499-nucleotide ribosomal RNA is filed under the name uncultured bacterium. RNAcentral's name for it is "partial 16S ribosomal RNA". It matches the Rfam family "Bacterial small subunit ribosomal RNA", at positions 28 to 507 of the family's 1533-position model. The record is from RNAcentral.